UAUAUAUUUUACUUAUUUAUUUAGUUUAUUGCCUGUUUCCCCUUGUUUGAAUGUCAGCUCCAAGAGUUCCAGGAUUUAACCCUGUUUUGUCCACUCUGUCCACCAUGCCUGAAACAGUGAUGGGCACCAUGAACUUGGGAACACCUAUUCUGAUGCUCUAAGUGCCUCAUGAAUUUCUUUUAUGGCAACGAUUGGAGAUGGGCAUACUCACAUUGCAAGGAUGGUGUUGAAAUGCAACAAAACAUUUUUAAGAGAAGAAAUCUUUAUCAUCAGAUGCCCCAGAAGAAUUUGGCUCUGUGAAGACCAAUCACACGGUGAGAACUGGCUUUCAGUAGCCCUGCAUGAAAAAUGAUGUUAAAUAGGCUGUGGGCAGGGAUUGCCCUCUAACUGAAGAGUUGAGUGAUGGAAAUUCCCUUUAGUAGUCGGUGUGCCUAAUUUUCUAAAUUUACUUGGACAGUUUUCUUCAUAAGGCUCCCCCGCCACAGGUGUGUUUCCACCUAAUUGACUUCUCUUCACUUCCCUUCACCUUAUUUGCUUUUCAUCACGUUCUCUGACUCUCCUUUCACGUAACCCCUGUUCUAUCAUAGCCUCAAGGCUUUGCUGUGAAAACUUCUUUAUUUUUAAAUUUGUGAACAAUUCAUUUCUCUAGUUUGCCAGAAAAUUUUGCAUUGCUAUAAUGAAAGUAUUUAGCCAUAGUAAACGCACAUCUUACACCAUUCUCAAUACACACCUUUUAAAGUAGCAUGUUCGCAUGAGAGAAAUGACAGCUGAUUGGUUGAUAAUUAGUCAAAGGCAUAUUGCAGAAACGUGAUUAUUUGUGGCUUGUUAAAUUAUUGGUAUAAUUAGAAUGUCUUACAACUAGGAAUGUCUGUUUGACUUUAUGUAUGCCUGGG
This 893-nucleotide long non-coding RNA is filed under the name Macaca mulatta (Rhesus monkey). RNAcentral describes it as "lncRNA (ENSMMUG00000061150.1)". Lineage: Eukaryota; Metazoa; Chordata; Mammalia; Primates; Cercopithecidae. The record is from RNAcentral.